AAAGUAUAAAGCACCUGGAGACAGGCCAUGAAAAUUACUAAGUGCCCCAGCAGCAAAGCCAACAACAAUGAAAGAAAUAUUUAGAUGACUACGAACACCUAUUUCAGAUUGUAGGUAAAUAAAAUUUAGGGAGAAGUGUAAAACUUGAAAGCAAAAGCUGUUUAAUGUUUAAGUCCAAGGAUUCAGUAUUGAAAAUAGGAAAUGAUAACAGUAUUUUAAAAGAUUGGAUGCAAUAUAUUUGUUUAUAGGCAAAUAAGUCACCACAAAAAGGCAAAAAGUUGGUUGAUAUAACCACCUGGUUUGGAACUAUGUAACAAUUUAAUCUCGCCUCAUGAGAUGCAGUAUUCUUGUAUAAUUGAUCGUAUAGAAUUAUACUAAAUUACACUGUUAUAUGAAAAGUGCUCUUCAUUAUAUUUUACUAUUUCCAUAGAUAGAGACAUAUUUGUCUCUGUCUCCAUAAAAUGUAAGAGGUUGUAAAAGUUUGUCAGAAGAAUGAGGAGGUAAAAAGAAAUAUUUACUUUUUGUUUUCCAUUUCAAUUUUGACAGCAUUAUCUGAUUUUGGACAUCAUUAACGUCUCUCUUUAUCUUAAUACAACUGAGGCUGUGGUAUUCUAACCAUUCACCUCUGUAC
This is a long non-coding RNA of Sapajus apella (tufted capuchin), 631 nucleotides long. RefSeq lists it as uncharacterized. The record is from RefSeq and is a predicted model, not a curated record. The transcript is spliced from 3 exons. NCBI's taxonomy places the organism in Eukaryota, Metazoa, Chordata, Mammalia, Primates, Cebidae.